ACACCUCAACUCUCAUGGUCUGCCAUGAUGAGCUUGGACUUUGGAGGUCUUGCCGGCUUGACCGUCGGCUCCUCUCAAACGAAUCAGCUUGCCGGUGUUUGGCGGCGCCACGGGUGUGAUAACUAUCUACGCUUGUGGUGUUCCGUCAGGUAACCUUCAGUGAUGGAGGUUCGCUGCAGCUCACAGACGUCUCUCCUCUUGGAAGACAGCUUUUUGAAC
This 219-nucleotide unclassified non-coding RNA is filed under the name uncultured Tomentella. RNAcentral describes it as "sequence contains ITS2". The record is from RNAcentral. Lineage: Eukaryota; Fungi; Basidiomycota; Agaricomycetes; Thelephorales; Thelephoraceae.